GAUGAACGCUAGCUACAGGCUUAACACAUGCAAGUCGAGGGGAAACGACAUCGAAAGCUUGCUUUUGAUGGGCGUCGACCGGCGCACGGGUGAGUAACGCGUAUCCAACCUGCCCACCACUUGGGGAUAACCUUGCGAAAGUAAGACUAAUACCCAAUGAUAUCUCUAGAAGACAUCUGAAAGAGAUUAAAGAUUUAUCGGUGAUGGAUGGGGAUGCGUCUGAUUAGCUUGUUGGCGGGGUAACGGCCCACCAAGGCGACGAUCAGUAGGGGUUCUGAGAGGAAGGUCCCCCACAUUGGAACUGAGACACGGUCCAAACUCCUACGGGAGGCAGCAGUGAGGAUAUUGGUCAAUGGGCGAGAGCCUGAACCAGCCAAGUAGCGUGCAGGACGACGGCCCUAUGGGUUGUAAACUGCUUUUAUAAGGGAAUAAAGUGAGUCUCGUGAGACUUUUUGCAUGUACCUUAUGAAUAAGGACCGGCUAAUUCCGUGCCAGCAGCCGC
Molecule: ribosomal RNA, 502 nt
Filed under: uncultured bacterium
Lineage: Bacteria
Description: bacterial SSU rRNA
Rfam family: Bacterial small subunit ribosomal RNA
Source: RNAcentral